This 288-nucleotide long non-coding RNA is filed under the name Fragaria vesca (wild strawberry). RNAcentral's name for it is "long non-coding RNA (FVES_LNC000372)". Lineage: Eukaryota; Viridiplantae; Streptophyta; Magnoliopsida; Rosales; Rosaceae. The record is from RNAcentral.
CAUGAACUCAAAAGAUAUAUCUCGCAUCGUCAGCUCGACCCAGUUUGCACGUUUGGUAAAGCUCUUGGAAGAGGACAGAGUCUCUGAUAAAAUUGUCCUUGGAGGUCAAACAGAUGAGAAGCAAUUGUAAGAAUUACUGCAGCACCAUGGUAUAACUAGGAUGCAUAACUGUUACAUAGAUUAUCCUUAAUAUGUAUGUAUUUGAUGCAGAAAAAUAGCUCCAACUAUCUUGUUGGAUAUUCCAGAAGACACUCAGAUAAUGAAUGAGGAGAUAUUUGGGCCACUAAU